RNAcentral lists this long non-coding RNA (202 nucleotides) under Mytilus galloprovincialis (Mediterranean mussel). Lineage: Eukaryota; Metazoa; Mollusca; Bivalvia; Mytilida; Mytilidae. The record is from RNAcentral.
UUUUAAUUGUGACAUCACACAGUUACAUCCCAUAGGUAUCCACUUCCUAUGAGCAUGGCUUAGUUAAGACUUGAUAAGUGUUUGUUCACCCAGGAACAUAUAUUGCUCCUAGGUUCACCUAAUCUUUAAUCAACAUUUCAGUGUAAAAGCAAAGUGUAUUUACCAUUCAUAACUCUCAACCAUGGAAACGAAUUGUAAAUUA